UUCUGCAGCAAAAAAUAGAGAUAAGUAGCAAAAGCUGCUCAAGGAGAAGCCUCAUUGUACGUGUUAUGACAGUCGGGAGAGGGAUUAAUCCUGGCAGUGUUUCCUUGUAUUUGUUAAGGCAGAUGAUACACAGUGACAAUGGCAGCUGCUCCUUUCCACAGCGCUGCUGAGGAAACCUUACCUGCAUGUUCCUUCAGAGGUGCAUAAUGCAUCAUUCCUAGCUCACAGGGGUGAUCAAGCCCACAGGUGACAAACACUCCUGUGGCACCACACAUAAACAUAGCACCUUAUUAGCUCACAUUUUGAAGAGCCUUCUCUGGAGGAAUGUAAAGGCUGUGAGUGUCAUGGUCUGAGAGCAGCACAGACACAUCCCCUUCCGUGUUCAUGGAUCAACAGCCUUUCCUGGAGUACGUAGCUAAGCCCUUUCUCUAUGCUUUUGUUUUCAUAAUCUGCAGAGAAAGAGCAAGGCUUUUUUCCUGCCUCACUGAGUGUGUUGGUUUAGUGCCUGUGUGUAGCUUAGCUAAGGCAAAAGAGAGUUGGUACCACUCAGAACAGCACUCAAAUCGUUGGGCUACUUGAGGAAAAAGUGUUUCUCAAUCACUCCUUUUGAACCCACUGCAUUUAACAUAGAAGUGCUAAACAUGAGUGGAAUGAGUGGAAAGGAAUAAAGAGCUUUGAUUUGUCAAUGCUGGUGAUGAAUGGUGGUGGUGAUGGGAACUCUGGGCUAAUUGUAUGUAUGCUGGGGAUUUUUUUUUCCUUCCAUUUUUUUUCCCCUUUCUUUCCUUCAUCCCAUAAUUGAACAAGCUGCUAAAAGAACCUUAGGAUUAAAUAUUGAACAAGAUGAUUCCUGAGUAACUGUUGCAGCUAAUGCACCAGAGAGUUGUCCAAGUUUUUGCUACACUUGUGUGGUUUAGGGAUAGGGAUUUGGCCCUCCUGCCUGUAAACACACAGCUAUGAGGAACAGUUGGAAGGAUGGAGAGGCACUUUACCUGCACAUCAAGCUGGUAACCCUUUCUGGAUUGCACAGAUCCCCCUGGGAGGAGCGUGUGAAGCUGUUUAGUUCUCCCUGCAGAGGGGAUUCCCCAGGAACAGACAGUCCUACAGCAUUCACUACCUAAAGCUGACUUGCCAUCAACAAAAGCUAAGAGAGGAAAAGAAACACAGUAAGUGAUCUAAAGAGACAGCCAUGCUGUGAUGGAAAAAGCCUUUAAAAGUAAUUACAUAAAAAGCAUGAGCUGCUAUGCAGAGUUAGGGUCCCUGAAUGGAGUAAUUAAAAAGGAGCAUGCAUUUUCUGUUAGAAAUCUAUCAGAAGUAAAACCAAAAUGUAAUCAGAUUCAGCUUCUAGAUGGAAACUUUUUUCACUUCACAGAACAACUAAAAGAAGGUGAAUAACAAACACCAACAAUUCUCAUCGGUGUCAUCAAUAUUGAAGUACUUCACUGAAGCAAAAUGUUACGAAGGAAGUUGGGAAUGGACAUUUAAAGACUUAAAAUUUACUAAAUUUUCUCCCCAAUUUGAUUGUUGGUGAAGUUCAAUGCUGAGUUCUGCAGGAUUGACUUGGAGAUGCUUCCUUUUGACUUUGAUGCCUGGUUACUUGGAGAGCCCAACAACAGCGUGGAUUUAAGAAUCUGCCUUGGCCUUUUGCCCCUUGAGACCUCAGUGAUGUGAAUGUGAGCAGUGCUCUGUGCAUUUAUGCAUGCUCGUGUCCUGGAGCCUAGAAGCACAAUUUCCCGUAAACAUUUCCAAGUUUGGAACAAAAACAGUGAUGGCCUGUGCCAUGACUUGAGUUCAGCAAGAACUGCCUGCUUGUGCUACAUGUCUUCAGUGGGAGUAUUAUCAUUAUAUAUAUGGAGACAAGAGGUUUUCACCCAGAUUAUACACGUGCAAAAAACCCAUACAUUAAGCUAGAACAUCCACUUCCUGAAAAUAUGGCACAGGAGAAGGGAGAGGACUGGUGUAGGUGUGAACCUCACACCUGCAUUUUGGAAAGGCACAUUCUACCUGUCCUUCCAUCCAUCUGUUCAUCACCCAAGGAAUCCUGAGAGCUUUUUUGCUUUGCUUCCUGUGCCUAUGGAAACAGAAAAACUAAAGGAAGAUGAAUGACUUCUGUGUGAAAUUUCCUUCCAGGGAACUAACUGCAAAUUGCAGUGGUUAUUAAUAUGAGUGAUUCAAGUCUAAUCAGGGAAAAAAAAUAAUGGAAAAAGGGAAGCCAUCUCAGGAAGGAGAAAAACUCGCUUGUCACCUGGGAUAAGGAGAAUCAAAGCUAAACUUCCAAUGCUGUGGACGAGGAAAUGUGGUUGGAGAGGAAGAGGUGGCAUCACGAGCAACAGGAAAACAAGGCUGUGAAUAUCAGGGAGCAUUUGGCAGUACCAAGAGGGUGCAGCUCAGAUGACACAGGCCCAUAGCAGUUGCCCUGUUUUUCCCAUUGAAGUGGAAGCAUUUGGAUUUCAGCUGGUCACAUUUUCUGUACAGUGUUUGCACCAUCAUGGAGUUCACGCCCCUCAAGAGGGCUUUAGGUGAAACUGGAGAGAUUCAGUCAUAUUUUCUGGUUUUACUACCAUGAGACUUAACCUAAGGAAGAGAAAAGGAAGUGGGUCACAGGGGAGCAGAAAAGGCCGUGACUCUUGCUGAAAACUGCUCAGCAAUAAUGAAAACAUCCCCAAAUUAUCAGCACUGUUUUCAGCACAAUUCCAAAACACAGCCCCAUGGCAGCUACUGGGAAGGAAAUGAAGGACCCCAGCCCAAAGCAGCACACUGAGGUGUUUGCAUUGUCUCUUUCUACUUUUAAUAAUGGCUUUUUAUGUGACAGUGUGAUGGCUGAAAAGCAACCUGAUGCAGCGGCUACAUAAAUUUGGAAAACUCUUCUUGAAAUCUCUGGUAUAACCCGUGUACUAUAGUGUGUCCAAAUGGAUUUAGUGUAUCAUAACGCUCCUAGAAAAACAAAGGGACAAAGAAGAUGGGAUUGCUAAGGGAGACAUUAGAUUUCAUUUCACACUGGUAAUAGUUUAGAGACGUGUGCUGAGCAAAAUGUGAUUCAAUUCUGCGGCACUUUUCUUUUUUAUUGCUGCUAAGUGAUUUCAAUAUCCAGUCUAAAGUGAUAUUGAGAGUGUUCGAUAGAACGGGGAUGAAAUCAGGGAGCGCUGGAGGCUCAGAGGAGGCCACAAAUCUCAGGUUGACUCGACGAAGCCUUUCGGAGCCAUCCCCACCUGACCUUAACCCAUCUUAUUUAACCUGGAGGCUGCUGUUGAAAGCAGAUGGAGAUUGCUACACAAACAGGGAGGAAUACCUGUAGUCGAUGGUCACAAACAUGGUACUUGGGGGCUGCUUCUCAAAGCUAAGGAGCUCCUUUCAGCUUCUGAUAAACACGCAGCUAGAAAAGGAUAGCAAACAAGGCCUGUGGACAUUCAUGCUCAACUCAUUCCCAGGGAUUAGGAUUAAAACCACCCGAAGUUACUUUGUUUAUUUGUAUUUUUAAUCCUCAUUGGGUACUACCAUUAAUACUCAGUUCAUCAGUGCAGCACAGCUCCCUGCUGAAUUGGGAUGAGCUGGCUGAGUCAGCUGACAGAAGGAAGAGAGGAAUCGAGUUUGACAGCAGCACAGACUUACUUUGGCUUAAGGUGGAAGAAAGUGUUCGCUCUUUCCAAGUGACCUAAAAGCAUCUGGAAAAGUGAAGAUAGAGGAUUGGGGUCACAAAAACUCCGUGUGGGUUUAGCAUCCUUGAAAACGCCAGGAAUGGAGUAAUUGGAUGACUGGUACAGGCUGUGGAUGCAGCUCUUUCAUCACUGCCCCCAGUGAAUGGAAUUCUUUCCCUUCUACAUUUAAAUCUAAUCCAGACCUUCAGAUUUCGCUGUGGAUGGUUUCACCUCUGAGCUGAGCAGCAGCCCGAGAGAGCUUCACCUCUGCUGGUGUAUGGAAAACCCUCUGAGGCUCCAGGUGCUGUGGAGCUUGUAUUUGCCUUCUGCAAAAUGCUUCUGGAAUUUUAGGAUGAUUUACAUCAAUGUAUCCCUCUGCCACUGCGCCAGGAGUGAUGAGGGUGCCUGAAACACUCUGCAGGGAUAAGGACACAGGAGAACUACACUCAGAAACCAGGA
Molecule: long non-coding RNA, 4091 nt
Organism: Lepidothrix coronata (blue-crowned manakin)
Lineage: Eukaryota; Metazoa; Chordata; Aves; Passeriformes; Pipridae
Exons: 13
Source: RefSeq, a predicted model, not a curated record